Molecule: ribosomal RNA, 419 nt
Filed under: bacterium
Lineage: Bacteria
Description: partial 16S ribosomal RNA
Rfam family: Bacterial small subunit ribosomal RNA
Source: RNAcentral
UGGGGGAUAUUGCACAAUGGGCGAAAGCCUGAUGCAGCGACGCCGCGUGGGGGAUGAAGGCCUUCGGGUUGUAAACUUCUUUUGCUCUGAACAAGGCAUGCUAAUGGGUGUGUUGAGUGUAGGGGUUGAUUAGCGCCGGCUAACUACGUGCCAGCAGCCGCGGUAAUACGUAGGGCGCGAGCGUUGUCCGGAAUUAUUGGGCGUAAAGGGCUUGUAGGUGGCUGGUUGCGUCUGUCGUGAAAGCUCAUGGCUUAACUGUGGGUUUGCGGUGGGUACGGGCGGGCUUGAGUGCAGUAGGGGAGGCUGGAAUUCCUGGUGUAGCGGUGGAAUGCGCAGAUAUCAGGAGGAAUACCGGUGGCGAAGGCGGGUCUCUGGGCUGUUACUGACACUGCGGAGCGAAAGCAUGGGGAGCGAACAGG